Pistacia vera is the source of this 2455-nucleotide RNA transcript. It is a transcript of the gene named ETHYLENE INSENSITIVE 3-like 3 protein, with no coding region annotated. The record is from RefSeq and is a predicted model, not a curated record. The transcript has 4 exons. NCBI's taxonomy places the organism in Eukaryota, Viridiplantae, Streptophyta, Magnoliopsida, Sapindales, Anacardiaceae.
CCGAGGUGGCAAAUUCUGAUAAGAACUCUGAACUUUGUUUGGCCGCCUCUCACAAAUCGCUUGGUCUCGGUUUUCGUAUUACAUUCCCCGAAUCGUUUUGUCUGUCGAAACCCACUAUUCCGGCUCCGUAUUCCUUUUUGGGACCGAUUCGAUUUGAUUCAAUUCCAUGCAGUUCAAUUCAUUUCUAUCUUUAACGUGACGUUCUCUCUCUUAUUUCAUCAUCUUCCGUGAAGAACCAAAGCCAAAGUUGAAGAGAAUUAAAUUAAAGACUGAAAAGUGAAACCCCCAAUUUUUCUAGGGUUUGAGAGGUUCAUUAUUUUGUUUUCGUGUGGAAUUCUACAUGGGUGAAUAUGAAGAGAUUGGAGCUGAUAUUUGCUCGGAUAUUGAAGUUGAUGAUAUAAGGUGUGGAAAUAUAGCGGAAAAAGAUGUCAGUGAUGAGGAGAUUGAAGCAGAAGAAUUGGAAAGGCGGAUGUGGAAGGACCGAAUCAAACUUAAAAGGAUCAAGGAAAAAGAGAAGCUUGCGGCGUUACAAGCUGCAGAGAAGCAAAAACCUAAGCAGACAACUGAUCAGGCUCGGAGGAAGAAAAUGUCUAGAGCCCAAGAUGGAAUUCUUAAGUAUAUGUUGAAGUUAAUGGAAGUGUGCCAAGCACGUGGGUUUGUCUACGGGAUCAUUCCUGAGAAGGGUAAGCCCAUGACCGGUUCGUCUGAUAAUAUUAGAGCUUGGUGGAAAGAAAAGGUAAAGUUUGAUAAGAAUGGCCCUGCUGCCAUAGCAAAGUAUGAAGCAGAAUGUUUAGCCAUGUGUGAGGCAGAGAAUAAUCAAAAUGGGAACUCGCAGAGCAUUCUUCAAGAUCUGCAAGACGCAACUCUAGGUUCUCUCUUGUCUUCUUUGAUGCAACAUUGUGAUCCUCCUCAGAGGAAGUACCCAUUGGAGAAGGGAAUUCCACCACCUUGGUGGCCUACUGGGAAUGAAGAUUGGUGGGUAAAAUUAGGGCUACCCCAUGGUCAGAGUCCUCCAUAUAAAAAGCCACAUGAUCUGAAAAAGAUGUGGAAAGUAGGGGUGUUAACAGCAGUGAUAAAGCAUAUGUCUCCUGAUAUAGCAAAGAUCAGGAGGCAUGUCCGUCAGUCAAAGUGCUUACAGGAUAAGAUGACUGCAAAGGAAAGUGCAAUCUGGUUGGGGGUUUUGAACCGGGAAGAAUCUCUCAUCCGGCAACCUAGCAGUGAUAAUGGAACCUCUGGGAUAACUGAAAUGCGUGUGGAUGGCAACGGUAAUAAGAAGCGACCUACCAUUAGUAGUAAUAGCAACUAUGAUGUUGAUGGUAUUGAUGAUGGUGUGGGUUCUGUCUCAUCCAAAGACAGCAGGGAAAAUCAACUGAUGGAUGUAGAGCCAGCAAGUGGUCUUGGCAAUUCCACACCCCCUCCUGGCCAAGAAAAUAGACGGCAACCAAAAAAGCGCAAGACAGGUGGACACCGCGGGAAACCAAGGCCUGCUAAUCAAGCGCCUAGAAUGUCUCACAAUGAGUGCCAACAUGAUGAGCCAAGAAGAACUUUGCCUGACAUAAAUGAUACUGAUAUACCCCUUAUUGAUUACAAUACACAUGAUAAUCAACAGGAAAACAUUGCAGUCACAGCAUUGAGGCCCCCAGACGUAGGUUUUGAGGGCUCAGCACCAAUAACAGCAUCUGGGUUCAACAAUUUGUCCCUUGUUCCUUCUGCCGGUCUUGUUUCUACGCAGAGCAUGUAUGUGGACGAAACGCCUAUGCUUUAUCCCAUGGUGCCAAAUGCUGAGUUACAACGUGUUGCUACUUAUGAUGUCUAUAAUCCAUCAUUUGAAGUGGGACCUGGUCAUGAUUUGACGCAUGGUCAGAUGGAUAUGAAUGUGUCACAGAUUAGGCCAAAGGUUGAUGGAGGCUAUGUAGAAGCAUUAGAUAGAAAUGAAAAUGGCAUUAGCACUGGUGGACUGGAACCUUAUAUUAAAGACACAUUUCAGAGUGAACCAGAAAGGCCUGUUGAUACAUUUGGACCUUCAAUUGAUAGCCCAUUGAUUGAUUUCGGUGGACUCAGCAGUCCAUUUUAUCCUGGAAUUGACGGCACAAGUAUUGAUGACCUCUUCUCUGAUAAUGACUACCUACAAUACUUUGGGGCAUGAUUUGCAAAUGGGCUGCAAAAACGUGGCACUCAUUGCUGACCUGGUUGAAGGACCUUUCCUUAGCCAUUGUUUUGUGAGUACAGAAAAAUGUUUCUUAGCUUUCCGGUGAGCUUCUUAUAUUGACUCCUAUGAAGAUAAGUGUUUUUCACUUGCAUUUUCUUUGGCUGUAAAAUCCUUUAAAUUGUAUAAAUUGUUCUGGUUUUUCUUCAUCAUUUACUUUAAUUCUGAACUGUCAGACAUGACCAAAGGAAGUAUAUUCUGACUUUUCUUUGAUUAAUAUAUAUAUCCAGAUUGUUUCAAACUCCGAAU